AGUGAGCAAAAUCAAAGAACUCAACCAUAAAUACAUAUAGCAAAGAAUAAGGGAAACAACACGGAUUAACAUGUGAGUACAAUAAUAGCAACAAAAAAAAAAGAAUCUUGCAUAAUAGAAAUAGAAACAAAGAGCAACCUCAUGCGUAGUAGAAAAGAAAACAUACGAGCCAAACGAGAUGAUCACACAUAAAGAAAUCAUAAAGAAUCAGAAAGAUAUUUGAAGAAACUUUUCUAGAAAACCUAAAAUCGAAAUUGAAAGAUUUUGAAAAGGAAAUUUGGGAAAACCUUUAAAAUGUCAAGUAAAGCUCAGACAUAUCACAUAUCUACAAAAAAAUAAGCAAGUAAAGAACCUCAGACUGCUUGGAGAUUUAGAGAAAACCUUAGAAAUGAGAAAAGUCUUGAGGAAAGUCGGAUCUUGAGUCGAAAAGACUCAUAUUGCUUGAACACACCAGGAUAAUGGCUAGAGAUGCCAUAGAUCUACAGAUAUGAGAAGGAUCUGAAGAGCUUGAAGUCGGGCUUUAGACCUUGAAUAGUUUAGGUCUGAUAGUGAGAAAGGA
This 559-nucleotide long non-coding RNA is filed under the name Nicotiana benthamiana. RNAcentral's name for it is "long non-coding RNA (NBEN_LNC039138)". Lineage: Eukaryota; Viridiplantae; Streptophyta; Magnoliopsida; Solanales; Solanaceae. The record is from RNAcentral.